This 434-nucleotide ribosomal RNA is filed under the name uncultured bacterium. RNAcentral describes it as "bacterial SSU rRNA". It matches the Rfam family "Bacterial small subunit ribosomal RNA", at positions 28 to 467 of the family's 1533-position model. The record is from RNAcentral.
GACGAACGCUGGCGGCGCGCUUAACACAUGCAAGUCGAGCGGUAAGGCCCUUUCGGGGGUACACGAGCGGCGAACGGGUGAGUAACACGUGGGUGACCUGCCCUCAGCUCUGGGAUAAGCCUGGGAAACCGGGUCUAAUACUGGAUAUGACUCCAUGACGCAUGUUGUGGGGUGGAAAGCCUUGUGCGGCUGAGGAUGGGCCCGCGGCCUAUCAGCUUGUUGGUGGGGUGAUGGCCUACCAAGGCGACGACGGGUAGCCGGCCUGAGAGGGCGACCGGCCACACUGGGACUGAGACACGGCCCAGACUCCUACGGGAGGCAGCAGUGGGGAAUCUUGCGCAAUGGGCGAAAGCCUGACGCAGCGACGCCGCGUGAGGGAUGAAGAUCUAAGGAUACGUAAACCUCUGUUAGAAGGGACGAACUAACCCCAUGGU